RNAcentral lists this ribosomal RNA (730 nucleotides) under Priestia aryabhattai. RNAcentral's name for it is "bacterial SSU rRNA". It matches the Rfam family "Bacterial small subunit ribosomal RNA", at positions 53 to 765 of the family's 1533-position model. The record is from RNAcentral. Lineage: Bacteria; Bacillati; Bacillota; Bacilli; Caryophanales; Bacillaceae.
ACAUGCAGUCGAGCGAACUGAUUAGAAGCUUGCUUCUAUGACGUUAGCGGCGGACGGGUGAGUAACACGUGGGCAACCUGCCUGUAAGACUGGGAUAACUUCGGGAAACCGAAGCUAAUACCGGAUAGGAUCUUCUCCUUCAUGGGAGAUGAUUGAAAGAUGGUUUCGGCUAUCACUUACAGAUGGGCCCGCGGUGCAUUAGCUAGUUGGUGAGGUAACGGCUCACCAAGGCAACGAUGCAUAGCCGACCUGAGAGGGUGAUCGGCCACACUGGGACUGAGACACGGCCCAGACUCCUACGGGAGGCAGCAGUAGGGAAUCUUCCGCAAUGGACGAAAGUCUGACGGAGCAACGCCGCGUGAGUGAUGAAGGCUUUCGGGUCGUAAAACUCUGUUGUUAGGGAAGAACAAGUACGAGAGUAACUGCUCGUACCUUGACGGUACCUAACCAGAAAGCCACGGCUAACUACGUGCCAGCAGCCGCGGUAAUACGUAGGUGGCAAGCGUUAUCCGGAAUUAUUGGGCGUAAAGCGCGCGCAGGCGGUUUCUUAAGUCUGAUGUGAAAGCCCACGGCUCAACCGUGGAGGGUCAUUGGAAACUGGGGAACUUGAGUGCAGAAGAGAAAAGCGGAAUUCCACGUGUAGCGGUGAAAUGCGUAAAGAUGUGGAGGAACACCAGUGGCGAAGGCGGCUUUUUGGUCUGUAACUGACGCUGAGGUGCGAAAGCGUGUU